Molecule: ribosomal RNA, 484 nt
Filed under: uncultured bacterium
Lineage: Bacteria
Description: partial 16S ribosomal RNA
Rfam family: Bacterial small subunit ribosomal RNA
Source: RNAcentral
AUUGAACGCUGGCGGCAUGCCUUACACAUGCAAGUCGAACGGUAACAGGUCUUUCGGGAUGCUGACGAGUGGCGAACGGGUGAGUAAUACAUCGGAACGUGCCUAGUAGUGGGGGAUAACUACUCGAAAGAGUGGCUAAUACCGCAUGAGAUCUAUGGAUGAAAGCAGGGGACCUUUGGGCCUUGUGCUACUAGAGCGGCCGAUGGCAGAUUAGGUAGUUGGUGGGAUAAAAGCUUACCAAGCCUACGAUCUGUAGCUGGUCUGAGAGGACGAUCAGCUACACUGGGACUGAGACACGGCCCAGACUCCUACGGGAGGCAGCAGUGGGGAAUUUUGGACAAUGGGCGCAAGCCUGAUCCAGCAAUGCCGCGUGCAGGAUGAAGGCCUUCGGGUUGUAAACUGCUUUUGUACGGAACGAAAAGUCUUGGGUUAAUACCCUGGGAUCAUGACGGUACCGUAAGAAUAAGCACCGGCUAACUACGUG